UACGAAGGGUGCGAGCGUUGUCCGGAAUUAUUGGGCGUAAAGAGCUCGUAGGCGGCCUAUUGCGUCUGCUGUGAAAGCCCGGGGCUUAACCCCGGGUCUGCAGUGGAUAAGGGCAGGCUAGAGUUCGGCAGGGGAGACUGGAAUUCCUGGUGUAGCGGUGAAAUGCGCAGAUAUCAGGAAGAACACCCGUGGCGAAGGGGGCUCGGUGGGACGGUACUGACGCGGAGACGCGAAAGCGUGGGGAGCGAACAGG
Molecule: ribosomal RNA, 253 nt
Filed under: uncultured bacterium
Lineage: Bacteria
Description: partial 16S ribosomal RNA
Rfam family: Bacterial small subunit ribosomal RNA
Source: RNAcentral